ACGUAGGGUGCAAGCGUUAAUCGGAAUUACUGGGCGUAAAGCGUGCGCAGGCGGUUUUGUAAGACAGAUGUGAAAUGCCCGGGCUUAACCUGGGAACUGCAUUUGUGACUGCAAGGCUAGAAUCUGGCAGAGGGGGGUAGAAUUCCACGUGUAGCAGUGAAAUGCGUAGAGAUGUGGAGGAACACCGAUGGCGAAGGCAGCCCCCUGGGCUAAGAUUGACGCUCAUGCACGAAAGCGUGGGGAGCAAACAGGAUUAGAUACCCUGGUAGUCCACGCCCUAAACGAUGUCUACUAGUUGUCGGGUCUUAAUUGACUUGGUAACGCAGCUAACGCGUGAAGUAGACCGCCUGGGGAGUACGGUCGCAAGAUUA
RNAcentral lists this ribosomal RNA (371 nucleotides) under uncultured bacterium. RNAcentral describes it as "bacterial SSU rRNA". It matches the Rfam family "Bacterial small subunit ribosomal RNA", at positions 525 to 896 of the family's 1533-position model. The record is from RNAcentral.